CAAGCCGGCCAGGCAAUCGCCGGUCGCGCCGGGUUUUCCGGUGCGGCGGGAGGAAAGUCCGGGCUCCGGCGGACGGGACGCCAGGUAACGCCUGGGGGGCGCAAGCCUACGGAAAGUGCCACAGAAAAGAUACCGCCCCGCUCCCUUCGGGUCGAGCAGGGUAAGGGUGAAAUGGUGCGGUAAGAGCGCACCGCGCGGCCGGCAACGGCCGUGGCAGGGUAAACCCCGUCUGGAGCAAGGCUGAAUAGGGAAGCAAUGCGUAUGUCCGCACGCGCUUCCGGGUAAGCUGCUUGAGGCCGUUGGCGACGGCGGCCCUAGAUGAAUGAUUGUCCUCGACAGAACCCGGCUUAUCGGCCGGCUUGCCCC
RNAcentral lists this RNase P RNA (366 nucleotides) under Gammaproteobacteria bacterium. Its description in RNAcentral is "RNase P RNA component class A". It matches the Rfam family "Bacterial RNase P class A". From Rfam's summary of the family: Ribonuclease P (RNase P) is a ubiquitous endoribonuclease, found in archaea, bacteria and eukarya as well as chloroplasts and mitochondria. Its best characterised activity is the generation of mature 5'-ends of tRNAs by cleaving the 5'-leader elements of precursor-tRNAs. Cellular RNase Ps are ribonucleoproteins. The record is from RNAcentral. Lineage: Bacteria; Pseudomonadati; Pseudomonadota; Gammaproteobacteria.